GCGCCCGUAGCUCAAUUGGAUAGAGCGCCAGAUUACGGAUCUGGAGGUUAGGAGUUCGACUCUUCUCGGGCGCGCCA
Molecule: transfer RNA, 77 nt
Filed under: Alphaproteobacteria bacterium
Lineage: Bacteria; Pseudomonadati; Pseudomonadota; Alphaproteobacteria
Also listed under: 1 other name
Description: tRNA-Arg
Rfam family: tRNA
About the family: Transfer RNA (tRNA) molecules are approximately 80 nucleotides in length.
Source: RNAcentral